Molecule: long non-coding RNA, 288 nt
Organism: Athalia rosae (coleseed sawfly)
Lineage: Eukaryota; Metazoa; Arthropoda; Insecta; Hymenoptera; Athaliidae
Exons: 3
Source: RefSeq, a predicted model, not a curated record
GAUUGAGCUGGCAUUCGGAUUCCUGAGAUCAAAAUACAUGAGAAUAGCGUGAGGCACUCUUCAAAAAAAAAUCUGUGCUUUCCUCUCAGAUUGUGAGAAAAUUCCAAGGCUAUAGGCUUAUCGUUUUUUUCGGCGAAAACGUGGAAUAUCCCUCAGAAUAAUACCAGGACGCUUUUCCUACGUAAAAUUGCGUGAUAAACACAACGCCGUCAAUGAAAUUGAGCUGGCAUUCGGAUUCCUGAGAUCAAAAUACAUGUGGAUAGCGUGAGAAACCCUUCAAAAAAAAAU